UACAGAGGGUGCGAGCGUUGUCCGGAAUCACUGGGCGUAAAGCGCGCGCAGGCGGUCUUCCAAGUCAGUGGUGAAAGCCCGGAGCUCAACUCCGGAACUGCCAUUGAAACUGUUGGACUUGAGUAUGAGAGAGGUGAGUGGAAUUCCCAGUGUAGAGGUGAAAUUCGUAGAUAUUGGGAAGAACACCGGUGGCGAAGGCGGCUCACUGGCUCAUUACUGACGCUCAGGCGCGACAGCGUGGGGAUCAAACAGG
RNAcentral lists this ribosomal RNA (253 nucleotides) under uncultured bacterium. Its description in RNAcentral is "partial 16S ribosomal RNA". It matches the Rfam family "Bacterial small subunit ribosomal RNA", at positions 524 to 776 of the family's 1533-position model. The record is from RNAcentral.